This 320-nucleotide long non-coding RNA is filed under the name Malus domestica (apple). Its description in RNAcentral is "long non-coding RNA (MDOM_LNC002788)". Lineage: Eukaryota; Viridiplantae; Streptophyta; Magnoliopsida; Rosales; Rosaceae. The record is from RNAcentral.
GAAGAAUAAGGUAUCUAGAUCGACAGCUAGGAUUAAAUGAGAUAAGGGACUAAAUUGAUAGACUUAAACAUGUUUCAGGGAGAUAUAUAGAAAUAUAGAUGAAAAUGUGAGGGUGGUUAUAACACUGAAUCUCCAUGAUGAUUGUAAAACUGUCCGACUAGUCUUACCCUUUCUUUUCAAAAUCAAACGAUUGGCCUUUUUCCAAAACCCCUAUAAAUACUCAAAAUCCUUCAUUUUUUCCUUUACGCCUUCAAAACUCUCAGAUCAUCUUUCAAAGCUCCCUUUCUAACCAGCAAAACUUUGUUGAAUCCAGAAAUUCC